CCUCAUUUCUGCUACUCUUGUGGUAGGUUAGGCCACUUUGCUGUGAGUUGUCCAGAAACUCCCCUCACUGCUGCAGAACUGGCAAGUAAGGAAUCAACAGCUUUUGGUCAAUGGCUGCGAUCAGAAGUUAGAGAACACAACCCUUAUUGGCAUACCUUUUAUGGCGAUCUUGUUAGCCCUACUGAGAUGGAUGAUGUUAUACCUGAAACACAUCCUUCCUUAGUAACCAAGACCCUUGCGCUCCCCACUUCUGAAGUGCCUCUCUCACCCUCUGGGCUUAAUGACCAGCAUGUUGGAGCCUCCUCUACUCAUCGAUAAAAAAACUGCCCCGUUUCCCUCGAGUGGUACAACCCCUGCAUCAUCAACUCAGUCAAGUGUUAUGC
Molecule: long non-coding RNA, 383 nt
Filed under: Eucalyptus grandis
Lineage: Eukaryota; Viridiplantae; Streptophyta; Magnoliopsida; Myrtales; Myrtaceae
Description: long non-coding RNA (EGRA_LNC005100)
Source: RNAcentral